CUACGGGAUGCAGCAGUGGGGAAUAUUGCGCAAUGGGGGAAACCCUGACGCAGUGACGCCGUGUGAGUGAUGAAGGUUUUCGGAUCGUAAAGCUCUGUCAGACGGGAAGAAUAAGAACAGUAAAAAUAUUGCUGUUUGAUGACGGUACCGUCAGAGGAAGCAACGGCUAACUCCGUGCCAGCAGCCGCGGUAAUACGGAGGGUGCACAGUUGUUCGGAAUUACUGGGCGUAAAGCGCAUGUAGGCGGAUAUGUAGGUCAGAUGUGAAAUCACUUGGCUCAACCAAGGAAGUGCAUCUGAAACCCCAUAUCUUGAGUACGAGAGAGGGAAGUGGAAUUCCCAGUGUAGAGGUGAAAUUCAUAGAUAUUGGGAAGAACACCGGUGGCGAAGGCGGCUUUCUGGCUCGUAACUGACGCUGAGAUGCGAAAGCGUGGGGAGCAAACAGGAUUAGAUACCCCUGUAGUC
RNAcentral lists this ribosomal RNA (464 nucleotides) under uncultured bacterium. Its description in RNAcentral is "partial 16S ribosomal RNA". It matches the Rfam family "Bacterial small subunit ribosomal RNA", at positions 339 to 795 of the family's 1533-position model. The record is from RNAcentral.